AGUCGAACGGUGAAGCCAAGCUUGCUUGGUGGAUCAGUGGCGAACGGGUGAGUAACACGUGAGCAACCUGCCCUGGACUCUGGGAUAAGCGCUGGAAACGGCGUCUAAUACUGGAUAUGAGCCUUCAUCGCAUGGUGGGGGUUGGAAAGAUUUUUUGGUCUGGGAUGGGCUCGCGGCCUAUCAGCUUGUUGGUGAGGUAAUGGCUCACCAAGGCGUCGACGGGUAGCCGGCCUGAGAGGGUGACCGGCCACACUGGGACUGAGACACGGCCCAGACUCCUACGGGAGGCAGCAGUGGGGAAUAUUGCACAAUGGGCGAAAGCCUGAUGCAGCAACGCCGCGUGAGGGAUGACGGCCUUCGGGUUGUAAACCUCUUUUAGCAGGGAAGAAGCGAAAGUGACGGUACCUGCAGAAAAAGCGCCGGCUAACUACGUGCCAGCAGCCGCGGUAAUACGUAGGGCGCAAGCGUUAUCCGGAAUUAUUGGGCGUAAAGAGCUCGUAGGCGGUUUGUCGCGUCUGCUGUGAAAUCCCGAGGCUCAACCUCGGGCCUGCAGUGGGUACGGGCAGACUAGAGUGCGGUAGGGGAGAUUGGAAUUCCUGGUGUAGCGGUGGAAUGCGCAGAUAUCAGGAGGAACACCGAUGGCGAAGGCAGAUCUCUGGGCCGUAACUGACGCUGAGGAGCGAAAGGGUGGGGAGCAAACAGGCUUAGAUACCCUGGUAGUCCACCCCGUAAACGUUGGGAACUAGUUGUGGGGACCAUUCCACGGUUUCCGUGACGCAGCUAACGCAUUAAGUUCCCCGCCUGGGGAGUACGGCCGCAAGGCUAAAACUCAAAGGAAUUGACGGGGACCCGCACAAGCGGCGGAGCAUGCGGAUUAAUUCGAUGCAACGCGAAGAACCUUACCAAGGCUUGACAUACACCAG
Molecule: ribosomal RNA, 923 nt
Filed under: Microbacterium testaceum
Lineage: Bacteria; Bacillati; Actinomycetota; Actinomycetes; Micrococcales; Microbacteriaceae
Description: bacterial SSU rRNA
Rfam family: Bacterial small subunit ribosomal RNA
Source: RNAcentral